RNAcentral lists this ribosomal RNA (91 nucleotides) under Hydrogenimonas sp. The record is from RNAcentral. Lineage: Bacteria; Pseudomonadati; Campylobacterota; Epsilonproteobacteria; Campylobacterales; Hydrogenimonadaceae.
UACCCGGUCCCAUCCCGAACCCGGAAGUCAAGCCCCUCUGCGCUGAUAAUACUGCUCCCUUCGGGAGUGGGAAGGUAGGUCGGUGCCGGGC